GGAUAAGGUUCCCUAGCCGUCCAACAUUAUGGGAAGAUCGGCCAUUAUUAGGAGCAGCAUGACCAUUCUCUUCCAUGUAACUAGCUUCUUGGGUUUCAAAAAGAGAAGAAAGAGCAUGGAUAGUAUUGGGGUUAGGGUUAUCAGGCAAAGCAGUAAUCUUCUCCAUCAACGCUUGUGCCUUAAUGAUCAACCCUUCACUUUCCGCCUCUUCUUCAUCUUCCUCUCCACCUCCCGC
This 235-nucleotide unclassified non-coding RNA is filed under the name Hevea brasiliensis (rubber tree). The record is from RNAcentral. Lineage: Eukaryota; Viridiplantae; Streptophyta; Magnoliopsida; Malpighiales; Euphorbiaceae.